This 73-nucleotide transfer RNA is filed under the name Ovis aries (sheep). It matches the Rfam family "tRNA". From Rfam's summary of the family: Transfer RNA (tRNA) molecules are approximately 80 nucleotides in length. Their secondary structure includes four short double-helical elements and three loops (D, anti-codon, and T loops). The record is from Rfam by way of RNAcentral. Lineage: Eukaryota; Metazoa; Chordata; Mammalia; Artiodactyla; Bovidae.
UCCCUGGUGGUCCAGUGGUUAGGACUCUGCACUUUCACUGCCAAGGGCCAGAGUUCAAUCCCUGGUUGGGGAA